GAUGAACGCGGCUACAGGCUUAACACAUGCAAGUCGAGGGGAAACGGCGUUGAGUGCUCGCACUCUUCGGACGUCGACCGGCGCACGGGUGAGUAACGCGUAUCCAACCUUCCCGUCACUGCGGGAUAACCUGCCGAAAGGCAGACUAAUACCGCAUGGCCUUCACUGACGGCAUCCGAGGUGAAGUAAAGCUUUUUUGCGGUGACGGACGGGGAUGCGUCUGAUUAGCUUGUUGGCGGGGCGACGGCCCACCAAGGCGACGAUCAGUAGGGGUUCUGAGAGGAAGGUCCCCCACAUUGGAACUGAGACACGGUCCAAACUCCUACGGGAGGCAGCAGUGAGGAAUAUUGGUCAAUGGGCGGAAGCCUGAACCAGCCAAGUAGCGUGCAGGACGACGGCCCUACGGGUUGUAAACUGCUUUUAUGCGGGGAUAAAGUGAGGGACGCGUCCCUUUUUGCAGGUACCGCAUGAAUAAGGACCGGCUAAUUCCGUGCCAGCAGCCGCGGUAAUACGGAAGGUCCGGGCGUUAUCCGGAUUUAUUGGGUUUAAAGGGAGCGUAGGCCGGGGAUUAAGUGUGUUGUGAAAUGUAGGCGCUCAACGUCUGAUGUGCAGCGCAUACUGGUUCCCUUGAGUACGCGCAACGCCGGCGGAAUUCGUCGUGUAGCGGUGAAAUGCUUAGAUAUGACGAAGAACCCCGAUUGCGAAGGCAGCCGGCGGGAGCGCAACUGACGCUGAAGCUCGAAGGUGCGGGUAUCGAACAGG
RNAcentral lists this ribosomal RNA (762 nucleotides) under uncultured Prevotella sp. RNAcentral's name for it is "bacterial SSU rRNA". It matches the Rfam family "Bacterial small subunit ribosomal RNA", at positions 28 to 776 of the family's 1533-position model. The record is from RNAcentral. Lineage: Bacteria; Pseudomonadati; Bacteroidota; Bacteroidia; Bacteroidales; Prevotellaceae.